GCAUUUAUGGCAGAGUGGACGAUAGCACGGGACUCAUAAUCUCGCUCUGAAAAGACACCGCUGGUUCGAAUCCAGCUGAAUGCA
RNAcentral lists this transfer RNA (84 nucleotides) under Euglena mutabilis. RNAcentral describes it as "tRNA-Met". It matches the Rfam family "tRNA". From Rfam's summary of the family: Transfer RNA (tRNA) molecules are approximately 80 nucleotides in length. Lineage: Eukaryota; Euglenozoa; Euglenophyceae; Euglenales; Euglenaceae. The record is from RNAcentral.